Molecule: ribosomal RNA, 489 nt
Filed under: uncultured bacterium
Lineage: Bacteria
Description: bacterial SSU rRNA
Rfam family: Bacterial small subunit ribosomal RNA
Source: RNAcentral
AUUGAACGCUGGCGGUAUGCUUAAGACAUGCAAGUCGAACGGUAACAGACCUUCGGGUGCUGACGAGUGGCGGACGGGUGAGUAACACGUGGGAAUCUACCUUGUAGUGGGGGAUAAGCCAGGGAAACUUGGACUAAUACCGCAUACGCCCUAAGGGGGAAAGGAGCAAUUCGCUAUAAGAUGAGCCCGCGUCUGAUUAGCUAGUUGGUGAGGUAAAGGCUCACCAAGGCGACGAUCAGUAGCUGGUCUGAGAGGAUGACCAGCCACAUUGGGACUGAGACACGGCCCAGACUCCUACGGGAGGCAGCAGUCGGGAAUAUUGGACAAUGGGGGCGAACCCUGAUCCAGCAAUACCGCGUGUGUGAAGAAGGCCUCGGGUUGUAAAGCACUUUUGUCAGGGAGCAAACCUACAGACUAAUACUCUGUGGGGAGUGAGAGUACCUGAAGAAUAAGCACCGGCUAACUACGUAGCCAGCAGCCGCGGUAAAG